CUACCCGGGUUUCUAAUCCUGUUUGCUACCCACGCUUUCGGGCAUGAACGUCAGUGCCAUCCCAGGGGGCUGCCUUCGCCAUCGGUAUUCCUCCACAUCUCUACGCAUUUCACUGCUACACGUGGAAUUCUACCCCCCUCUGACACACUCUAGCCACCCAGUUCAGAACGCAAUUCCCAGGUUGAGCCCGGGGAUUUCACAUCCUGCUUAAGUAACCGUCUGCGCCCGCUUUACGCCCAGUAAUUCCGAUUAACGCUCGCACCCUACGUAUUACCGCGGCUGCUGGCAC
Molecule: ribosomal RNA, 289 nt
Filed under: uncultured Neisseria sp.
Lineage: Bacteria; Pseudomonadati; Pseudomonadota; Betaproteobacteria; Neisseriales; Neisseriaceae
Description: partial 16S ribosomal RNA
Source: RNAcentral